RNAcentral lists this transfer RNA (88 nucleotides) under Candidatus Curtissbacteria bacterium. RNAcentral's name for it is "tRNA-Ser". It matches the Rfam family "tRNA". Rfam says of the family: Transfer RNA (tRNA) molecules are approximately 80 nucleotides in length. Their secondary structure includes four short double-helical elements and three loops (D, anti-codon, and T loops). Lineage: Bacteria; Candidatus Curtissiibacteriota. The record is from RNAcentral.
GGAGAGGUGCGAGAGCGGUUUAAUCGGUUCGUCUUGAAAACGAAUGUGGCGCAAGCCACCGUGGGUUCGAAUCCCACCCUCUCCGCCA